AUGGGCUUGGAGGGGACCUCAGGGGAGGGUCCCAGAACACAAGGGUCUAGUCCUGCGCCAGGGAGAAGGGAGCCUGCUCUCGGCCAGAGAUCCCAUGCAGGGUCUCAGGUUUGUAGACGAAGCCCCGUGAUCUCUAAGAGCUGCCUGGCCUCAGCUCUGCGAAGGGAUUCCAGCUUUUCCCGGGAAACUAGAGUGGAUGAAACUGACAGCCCUCUGCGCCGAGGGAGGAGGAGGCCGAGGCCGGCAUCCGGCUUGGCUUCCUGCGAGUCUCACCGAGCACCGGGCUGUCUCCACAGUAGCUUUGGCGGCAAACAAAUCGGCCCAAGAAAAGAAUGAAUUUUGCAUUCUGGGUUUUGAAUUUUCUGGCCCAGAGAUGAGACAUUGAAGCCGGGUGCUGCUCCUUGAAGGCCAGCAACAGCCUUCUAUGUUGGUUGUAUUUUUGUAUUGCUUAGCUACAUUUCAGUCUUUCAAGGAUUUUCAGCCCAUUAAGAUGGAUGUAUUUGGGUGAAAAGGCGUUUAAAAAGUCUUUAAAAUGCUAAAAGCAGGCAAAAUAGCAAACGACAUUUAAAAGGAAGCAAAAACACUGAAGGGACGAACAGCGACACAUCAUGGAAAAAAGAAUUACUUUUGAAAACUGCUUUGCUACCUAUAUGAAAUUAAGGUGGACGCGUCCUUGGACGAAUAAGCCAAAAGCGCUCGAGUGAAAGACUCCCGGCCGGCGCACGCGCAGUGCAGGGCCACCCGGCAGCCGGCGCAGUUCUUGGAGAGCCUGGGUUUUCGCCGCGAGGCCCGCCCACCCCAGCGGAGGCGGGCGGCUCCCGACGGCCGGGAGAGGUUCUUCCGCCCGUCAGUCGCCCGAGUGUGAGGGUUGGGGGCUCCUCGGACGGGAAAGUUUUCUCUCAGGCCGGGGAGAAAGCGCAUUCUGCAUUAUCUCGGGGUCCUGUUCUUUGGCUCUAGACUUAAAGGAAAUGGAAACGUCUAGUCGAAGUGCUUAUGCCUCCGGCCUUACGCUCUACACAGACCUUUGUUCUGGUUCCCUAAAGCUGCGUAAAUGCAUUCUCCUCCGCAACUUAGUGGUGUCAAACAAGCAUUUUUUUGUUUGUUUUGAAUUGAUGGAUUCUGUGCGGGAGGAAUUCCAGCGGCUCCCUAAGGCUGGCGGCCCGAGUCCUCUGAAGGCGUCGUGACUCAUCCGUCUGGCGGCUGUCGUCGGCUAUUGACUGGGGGUCCCCGGCCCCCCUCCACGUGGAUCCGUCCACGCGGGCUCCUACCUGGGCCCCUCUGCGCGGCGUCGGAGC
Molecule: long non-coding RNA, 1295 nt
Filed under: Capra hircus (goat)
Lineage: Eukaryota; Metazoa; Chordata; Mammalia; Artiodactyla; Bovidae
Description: lncRNA (ENSCHIG00010013802.1)
Source: RNAcentral